UGUUCACUCGUGGUUCUUGUGUUGCUACCCAUUUAGCGGUAUUCAUGUGCCUCUUAAGACCCGUUCAAUCCAGACCCCUUCUAGGGAGUGCUGGUGAGUUCGAAAGUGAUGCAUGUUUUGCGUUAGCUGUGAAAUGCAACGGUUGGCGUGCUAACAUGUGUCUACUGUUCCCUCGGAUGCGGUGCAUGCAGUGAACGUGGGCUGACGAUUGUGCCCCGUUUAAUUAUCGGUUGCCUUGAAUGACACUUUGUCGUAGUGCUGGUGUUGCUUUACCAUUCGUGGUGUCAACACUAGUAUGUCGAGCAGAGUCGUUGAUGGAUGCUACCUGGUUGAUCCUGCCAGUAGUCAUAUGCU
This 354-nucleotide unclassified non-coding RNA is filed under the name Ulex europaeus subsp. europaeus. Its description in RNAcentral is "partial contains external transcribed spacer and 18S ribosomal RNA". The record is from RNAcentral. Lineage: Eukaryota; Viridiplantae; Streptophyta; Magnoliopsida; Fabales; Fabaceae.